UCCUCGUUUCGCUUUCGUUUCUAUUAAAUGGGUAUAGAUCGGACGUAGAUUUCACCUUCUAAAUUCCACCUUGUACUGCAGGUUGAAUUUCAAGAGUGAUCGAUUACAAGAGAAAAUGAUGAGGGAAUGGGAAAGUGACGACAAUGAAGACCUGCAGGUGUCAGCAUCAUUUUUGGAGAGGGAUCAGAUCGAUUUCCGGCCUAUCUGUUUUCGACCUUCGCGGGAAGAGCUCGGUCAUAUUCAGCAAAUUAAUCAAACAGAACUUCCAUUCUCCCCACUUAAGCCCUAAGAAACUGUUUGCAAAAUCAUUUGGUGUGAGUGAAGAAUGUAUCUAUAUCUGCCCAGAAAGAGAAAAAUGGUAAUUCAUGAUAAUCCUGACCAUCUUGUUAUUUUCAUCAACUUCCCCGUGACUUCGAGGUACGUUCAUUUGCAAUUUACAAGGCUCAAUGAUGGUUGUGUUAGUUUUGCACCCUGACGCCUCUAUACAAACCUUGAAAUCCAUCGUUCGGGGAAAUAAGCGUUUUUACAAUGGCAAACCGGCUUCGUUGUUUUAUAAAGGAAAGCGCCUUGACGAUGAUUCAUUGACGAUUGGUUCCCUGUUUAAAAUGGAGAUUAUGUGUCGUGUUUUGUUUCAUCAAAUGAAGCCAUUGAAUGCUUUCAUUCACCAAAACUGAAUAUUCUAAACAAGUAUACCAUGAAGUGUUCUCAAACAAGGAGUUUUGGUGAAAUGAAACACGUGUUCAAAACAGUUUGGGCAAGAAUUUCCAGGUCUUAAAUCUCGCAUUGAUGAUGUGUGGUUUUCAGUUGGCAAGCAACUAGCAAAGGAAGAUGAAUAUUACUGUAUUGAUCAACAGAAGAGAACGCAAAUGCAGGAAAGAGGAAGGCUGGCUGUUCAUGUUGAAGCCAGUGGGCUCAUUUCCGAUUACCGUGAAAUUUGAAGGUUCUGGAGUAGAACACACGCCUAAGAUCCUACUUGUUUCAUCUCCCAUAACAACAGCAGCACUUCGAGGAGGAAAUAUCUUCACUGGCAGAGUAUGCCCCAAAUGCACUUCGUCUGUUCAUCAAGAACAAAAGGCUGAAGGAGGUGACAUUGUCAGAAACAAUGGGCUUUCGACACAAAUGUGUAGUGACUGCAAAGGUCACAAAGAAGAUGCGUAUUCAUGAAACUUAAAGAAGGUGGGCAAGUAAACGGCUUUGUUGUAAAUCUGUUCAAACUUGACACUGUUCAACACCUGAAAGAGAUGAUACAGGAUCAUCUCUCUGUAGCAGUAUUCCAGCUGCAGAUGUUUUUGAAGGAAAAGAAAUGCAUAAUGCAUAUCUGAUGCAAGAUUAUCAUGUCAGAGGUGAGGACACAAUUCAUGUUAAUGUCUUCCAAGAGCCAGUGUACCUCAGCGUCCGUCAACCUGGAAGAGAAAGAUUACACCUGACAGUAAAUUGCAAGCAGUCUACUGUUGGAAAAGUUAAGCUGUUCCUUGCUGAUCAAUUUGGAAGUCACGCUUCAAAGAUAAAUAUCAUUCAUAAAAGCAGAUGUCUUGAGGACAAUGAAACGUUGGAAGAAAGUGGUCUCGAAUCAGGAAGCACUGUGCUCAUCCCCAGAGUGGCUCAGAUAGCUGAAUCAGUGAGAAAAGGAAUAAUGAAAGUGUACAUUGCCAAGGAAGAUGGAACCUUUCUAAAAACUCUUGCAGUGGAAGCCGGAAAGUUCUUAUUUUAUGCACCGGAUUCCAUUCGCAGUGAUGUGAUUGAAAUAUCUCUAACAGAAAGCAUUGACCCAGUUCAGGAGAUUCGUGGUGGCAUCAUGGUGAGGAUGCCACCAGAAACCAGAAGACCACUCUCAACAUGACCCUUGUCCCCAAAAUGAAGUUGACCUGUGUACCAUACAGUCUGGGUCCAGGGCCAUCAACGUCCAACUCCAGCUCUGAGUCACUUAUGCAAGGAAUAGUUUCACUAUCUGCACAUGCUAACACGUCUCCGCAAAGAACAAUUCCAAACAGGAUGUCAUUUCAACAUCCAGGUGUAUUUGAGCACUAUUCAGACCCCAGAAACAGGCCAUUACAAGAUGUACAGAUAUUCCAAAGAACUGAGAGAAAACCCUCAGCGAUUUAUCAUUCGUGAACAGUCGGUGUUUGAUGUUCCUAAAGGAGAUGCUGGAAAUGAAUUUGCUUGUAUUGCUCGAUCACCGAGUGUCCAAUCUUCGGAGAGCAUGAUGGCUGUUUCUCCCGAACACCGCAUUCACAGGUCGCCAAGUCUACAGUUUCCUAGUAGCGCAAUACCAGACUGUUUGCUGGAAGAGGUUUCACGACAACUUGGACACGAAUGGAAGCGCGUAGCUCUGGCACUUAGGUUGAAUCAAAAUGACAUUGACAAUUUGGAAUACAAACACAAUCAAAGCCUCCAUGAACAGGCUUUGGAGGCUUUGCUGCUUUGGAAAAUGCGUAAAUCUAAAGAUGCUACCAUUGCAGAACUGAAGAAUGUCCUCCGGGAAUGUGAGUUAGCUUUGAUUGCCGACUCAGUGGACGAGAAUAUCAAAUAUGCAAGUGUUUGAAAGUGACACAGCUGCACAGAAACUACUCAUCAUAUGUACAUCAUAUAUAUCUGCUUCACACCAGGUCUAGCGAAGAGAGGGCAGUGGGGUAGCCUAGUGGUUAAAGCGUUCGCUGAAGACCCGAGUUCGAUUCCCCAAAUGGGUACAAUGUGUGAAGCCCAUUUCAUGUGUACCCAGCCGUGAUAUUGCUGGAAUAUUGCUAAAAGUGGCGUAAAACUAAACUCACUAAUUCACUCUGGUGAAUAGAGCGUUUGUCCGGAGGAUGGAAGACCGGCAGAUCGUUAAGGGGUGCACUUGUUAUUACCCUGCUUUGCGCUCGGCAUUAAGGGAUAAUACAAGGCAGAUAUUUAUGUUGUGGAUACUAUUUUUUUUGCAAAACAUUGACCUUUUAAUCUUUAUGUACUCCUGCUGCUUCGGGAAUCAUAUUAAAGAUGUAUGUUUGGUCCUCUACUAUUUGUGCAUCAAUAUGUUCUGUAUAUACUUCAGUGUACCCUUGUACCCUUUAGAAUCUUGCCAGCUUGACGCUGAUUGUCGAGCAUGACUUUCCGUUCUCCAAUGUGAUGUCAGUAAACAAAGGGAAACCAAAGAAAGUAUACCUCCUUUCGCUUCACCAAGUUCUAUGAAUUUUAUAUUUACAUGAAAAACAGCUUUGGUAUACCUUCUUCUCACACUCAAUGUACAUCUUAUUUUGAUAGAUUUUUAAACAUCAUUUAUAUAUUUGACUGUGUGCCCAAUCAUUUCCACAUUUUUCAUGGGCCAUGUAGGAAUGCUAUGUAUGGUGCUUUUAGAUUUCCAAAGACAGCAAAAUGAUAUGAUGUUUACAUGACUUGUAUAUAUGACCUGAAUGAUCUGACGAGAGUAUAUGAAAUACAGGUAGAAAGGAAGAGAGACAUAAAUGUGUUUUAUAUAUUUUCUUAUUUUAAUUUUUUUGAUAAAUCGUUUUUAAGUGCGUACUUGUACGCAUGAUUAUGUACCGGAGAACGUUCAUUAUCAGAGAUAUAUUGCAAUUUUGUUUUGUCAUUUUUGUAUAUUUAUGAACUAAUAUUACCUGAAUUGCUUUGAUUUCUUGUGUUAGUCCAACGUUUGAUCAUGUAUUUUGUAUGUAAUUGACGAGAUGAAGUGUUCUUUAUAUUAUUUUAGAAAACAAUGGGUUCAACGACAUA
Haliotis rubra (blacklip abalone) is the source of this 3705-nucleotide long non-coding RNA. RefSeq lists it as uncharacterized. The transcript is spliced from 4 exons. NCBI's taxonomy places the organism in Eukaryota, Metazoa, Mollusca, Gastropoda, Lepetellida, Haliotidae. The record is from RefSeq and is a predicted model, not a curated record.